ACGGGUGAGUAAUGUCUGGGGAUCUGCCCGAUAGAGGGGGAUAACCACUGGAAACGGUGGCUAAUACCGCAUAACGUCGCAAGACCAAAGAGGGGGACCUUCGGGCCUCUCACUAUCGGAUGAACCCAGAUGGGAUUAGCUAGUAGGCGGGAUAAUGGCCCACCUAGGCGACGAUCCCUAGCUGGUCUGAGAGGAUGACCAGCCACACUGGAACUGAGACACGGUCCAGACUCCUACGGGAGGCAGCAGUGGGGAAUAUUGCACAAUGGGCGCAAGCCUGAUGCAGCCAUGCCGCGUGUAUGAAGAAGGCCUUCGGGUUGUAAAGUACUUUCAGCGGGGAGGAAGGCGAUGGGGUUAAUAACCUUAUCGAUUGACGUUACCCGCAGAAGAAGCACCGGCUAACUCCGUGCCAGCAGCCGCGGUAAUACGGAGGGUGCAAGCGUUAAUCGGAAUUACUGGGCGUAAAGCGCACGCAGGCGGUCUGUUAAGUCAGAUGUGAAAUCCCCGGGCUUAACCUGGGAACUGCAUUUGAAACUGGCAGGCUUGAGUCUUGUAGAGGGGGGUAGAAUUCCAGGUGUAG
This 580-nucleotide ribosomal RNA is filed under the name uncultured Pantoea sp. Its description in RNAcentral is "bacterial SSU rRNA". It matches the Rfam family "Bacterial small subunit ribosomal RNA", at positions 102 to 678 of the family's 1533-position model. Lineage: Bacteria; Pseudomonadati; Pseudomonadota; Gammaproteobacteria; Enterobacterales; Erwiniaceae. The record is from RNAcentral.